UACGGGGGGGGCAAGCGUUGUUCGGAAUUACUGGGCGUAAAGGGCCAGUAGGCGGCCAACUAAGUCAGAUGUGAAAUCCCCAGGCUCAACCUGGGAACUGCAUCCGAUACUGGAUGGCUUGAAUUCGGGAGAGGGAUGCAGAAUUCCAGGUGUAGCGGUGAAAUGCGUAGAUAUCUGGAGGAAUACCGGUGGCGAAGGCGGCAUCCUGGACCGACAUUGACGCUGAACGGCGAAAGCUAGGGGAGCAAACGGG
This 253-nucleotide ribosomal RNA is filed under the name uncultured bacterium. RNAcentral describes it as "partial 16S ribosomal RNA". It matches the Rfam family "Bacterial small subunit ribosomal RNA", at positions 524 to 776 of the family's 1533-position model. The record is from RNAcentral.